This 391-nucleotide ribosomal RNA is filed under the name uncultured bacterium. Its description in RNAcentral is "bacterial SSU rRNA". It matches the Rfam family "Bacterial small subunit ribosomal RNA", at positions 116 to 507 of the family's 1533-position model. The record is from RNAcentral.
CGUACACAACAUGCCAUAUACUGGGGUAUAGCUUUGGGAAACUGAAGGUAAUCCCCCAUAACAUUGGCGAGAGGGCAUCUGAUUGCAAUUAAGUUCGGCGGUAUAUGAUUGGUGUGCGUUUGAUUAGCUAGUUGGUAGGGUAACGGCCUACCAAGGCGACGAUCAAUAGCUGGCGUGAGAGCGCGACCAGCCACACUGGAACUGAGACACGGUCCAGACUCCUACGGGAGGCAGCAGUAGGGAAUAUUGGACAAUGGAGGAAACUCUGAUCCAGCCAUGCCGCGUGAUAGAUGAAGGCCUCUGGGUUGUAAAUAUCUUUUAUCUGGGAAGAAACUCCUCUAUUCUUAGAGGCCUGACGGUACCAGAGGAAUAAGCACCGGCUAACUCCGUG